AGUAGAGACGGGGUUUCACCGUGUUAGCUAGGAUGGUCUCGAUCUCCUGAUCUCAUGAUCUGCCUGCCUCGGCCUCCCAAAGUGCUGGGAUUACAGGCGUGAGCCACCGCGCCCGGCCUCCCCCAUUUCUUUCUCUUCAUAAUUCUCAUCACUAUCUGUCCAUUUCUCUGGGCCGGUGGUGCUGUCCACGUGGCUGUUGAAGUCUCCCACAGAUUGCAGGAGCUGAGAUGGACAGCCUGCGGUGAAUGCUGUGCGGUACCUGCAGGGCAUGAAGGAAACCGCCUGAGAUGCAGGCAGAUAGAUAACCCCACAGAGGAGAAGGAGAAGGCAGGGGUUUUGCAAAGUGAAGAAGAAAGAGAAUGUUACAAUCAGAUGGCUUGAAUCUAAAGAAAUCUACAAUCAGUUGGGGAUGUUCUGGUGUUCCUGGACAGCCACUGUGAGGUGAACAGAGUAUGGCUGGAGCCCCUGCUGCAUGCCAUUGCCAAGGACCCCAAAAUGGUGGUGUGCCCCUUGAUAGAUGUCAUUGAUGAUAGAACUCUGGAGUAUAAGCCCUCUCCUCUUGUAAGGGGAACUUUUGAUUGGAACCUACAAUUUAAAUGGGAUAAUGUUUUCUCUUAUGAGAUGGAUGGACCAGAAGGACCUACUAAACCAAUCCAGUCACCUGCAAUGUCUGGAGGAAUUUUUGCUAUACGUCGGCAUUAUUUUAAUGAAAUUGGACAGUAUGACAAGGAUAUGGAUUUUUGGGGAGGAGAAAGUUUGGAACUUUCAGUAAGG
RNAcentral lists this small RNA (774 nucleotides) under Pan troglodytes (chimpanzee). RNAcentral's name for it is "processed transcript". Lineage: Eukaryota; Metazoa; Chordata; Mammalia; Primates; Hominidae. The record is from RNAcentral.